This 558-nucleotide long non-coding RNA is filed under the name Equus caballus (horse). RNAcentral describes it as "lncRNA (ENSECAG00000051787.1)". The record is from RNAcentral. Lineage: Eukaryota; Metazoa; Chordata; Mammalia; Perissodactyla; Equidae.
CUGAGGUGAGGCCCAAUACCCUGCAUCUGCAAUAAUUCUGAUGCAAGAGGUCACUGGUGAUUCCACAUGCAGCUGCCUGUAAGAACCACAGCGAUCUCAUUUCCCCAGAUGGUGAAGCCAAGACCCAGUGAGGAUAAGUCAAUCACCCAAUGCCACACAGUUGAUGAGAACACAGGCAUGAGAAAGAGAAGCAAUUUGACUAAGAUGGAAAGACAGAGUUUACAGUCCAACAGGGAGACUGGCAUGAAACAAACAUAGAAAUAAAUACACAGCCGCAAAGAAUGCUCAGGGACUUUGGGGGCAUAGAUUCUCCACACUCCGGAGGAUGACGGCAUUAGUGGCACGGCCAUAAGAAGAGGCUUGUUGGCCAAAGUUUCAGGUUCCACGUGGGAGCAAAAGGACACAGCAGUUCCAGCUCUUAUCUUCUGACAAGUUUCAGGCAUAGUGGAAAGAGAAGUAAGUUGCAAGCAUGAUGAUAAUUUACCUCUGAAUAGAUCAGCUGUUAUCUCAGAAGAACAAGGACAUUCUCCUCCACAACUAUUAUCACAGUCAAUAAAG